UACGUAGGGGGCAAGCGUUGUCCGGAUUUAUUGGGCGUAAAGAGCGUGUAGGCGGCCGUACAGGUCAGCUGUGAAAAACUCGAGGCUCAACCUCGAGACGUCGGUUGAAACCGUACGGCUAGAGUCCGGAAGAGGAGAGUGGAAUUCCCGGUGUAGCGGUGAAAUGCGCAGAUAUCGGGAAGAACACCCGUGGCGAAGGCGGCUCUCUGGGACGGUACUGACGCUGAGACGCGAAAAGCGUGGGGGAGCGAACAGG
Molecule: ribosomal RNA, 256 nt
Filed under: uncultured bacterium
Lineage: Bacteria
Description: partial 16S ribosomal RNA
Rfam family: Bacterial small subunit ribosomal RNA
Source: RNAcentral